Meriones unguiculatus (Mongolian gerbil) is the source of this 3544-nucleotide long non-coding RNA. RefSeq lists it as uncharacterized. The transcript has 5 exons. The record is from RefSeq and is a predicted model, not a curated record. NCBI's taxonomy places the organism in Eukaryota, Metazoa, Chordata, Mammalia, Rodentia, Muridae.
CGCGAGCACGCCCCGCGCGCCUCCGCCGCGGGAGUCACCGGUGAAGAUGAGCCCUGCCACGCUUAGCGCUUAGCCUGCCGCGCGGCCCAGCGUUCGGAUAAAGACUGCUGGCAGAUGAGAAAAGGAUGCGCAGGAGCAUUUGAAAACUGAAGCAGCUCAAGCAAAUACAAUGUGUAAUACACACCAUCUUCUCUGCACACUUCUUCAAGAUGAAACAUUUCUGGAACUGGUGCUUACCUGUGAUUCUGGGAGGAUAAAAAGUGCUGCUGUGUGGGCAACUGGCUACUCCUUGUUGCUUUCUCUUCUGCUUGCAGAGGCACCAGUCCUGUUAGACGGAUAGUGAAGCCUUUUUUUUUUUCCUUCUACUUCAAGUGCCCUCUAGCGAGCAAUAUCUGUGCAGGUUGCUAUGUGGAAGAAGGCUGAAUGAAGAAAGAAAAAAAAAAAAAAAGGAAUUCAUCAGUUGCCGUUUUUCAUUCCUGAACUGCUCCAUUCCUUCCUUUUCCUUGCUCAGAGGCGCUUAUUUCCUCAUAAGCGCCUGGCAAAACAACAACAAAAAGAUGUUGUUGCUUUUGCAUGAGAAACAAAUCAUUCAUUUACUAAACUGCGAAGCUGAAAUGAAUGCUAAUCCUUUCUCGUGGGGUUUCUUUUGAGCACUCAUCAUGGUUUUUCCCAAAGUUGGUACACUAUGGUAAUCAGGCUAAUAAAAGAAGAUGGAGAAUCAAAGAAGUUUCCUGGCAGAGUGCCCACAUAUCUUUGUUUGCAACAAUCAAGGGCAAAACUGCGCACUCCUCAGUCAGCCGUGAGCACCUAAAGCACUCUUUCUUAUGUUGACAUGGUAGAGAACAGGAAAGGACCAGGUGCAGAUAAUUAAAAGAUGAAUAAGCUAAGUUGCCCUCAAAAGCUCAGUCAAGUGGAAGAGACAGACAAUGGGAAGACAUAAUUUUGGUAUAAGGACAGCUUUCAAGUGCUGCAGCAUAAAAGGAUGAUGAAAAUGCGAAGGCUUAGGAGUCUGAGAACAUCCUUGGAGAUGUCACUUCACUGCCAUGAUUAUCCUUACGACUGUCUACCAUUGGGAGCCUCGUAGCCUCUCAGAUAAAGUGCGUGGGUGUGGCUGAAACGAGGAUUCACAGCACGAUCAAAGAAUAGCAGUAGACUAUGUUCUGGGACAGUCGAAUAAGCAAGCCAAAGAGCCUUCUCUUUGGGGCUGAGAAGCUAGAAUGCCACUCUAUUAAUCCUCUGUCCUACCUCGAACUAUAUAACAAACACGUAUAUUCAGCUUUAUGCUAGCUGCACGAAAAUAUAGUGCUAGAAUUGCACAAAAAAUACCUGAAUAUGGACCAAUGGAGGGAAGAAAUACUGUUUACAAAGUAAUUACAAUACUAAAAGAAAAACAGAAAAUACAAAAGCACUGUUCUUGGUGCUUUAGCUCCACGCCAACUGCUCAGGAACUUUUAAAGUACAGGCAUUCUCAUGGUCUGUGCUUUACAAAUGAGGAGUGUGGGUAGGGAGAGCUUAAAUAUCUUGUUCAACAUCAUUUGAACAACCAUAAAAUUAUAUUGUGACAGCCCAGGUUUCAAGACUUUAGGGCUGGAGUCAGGUUAACUAUUAUGAUAACAUACUUUUCACAUGACUUGUUUUGCUUGGUAUUUCUCUGUUUUAUUGAUAGUAUAUCAAAGACAUACUCUGAAUUCUUUGAAUCAUUAUUGUCUUUAUUUUGUAUUAAAAGUGUGUGCUUUGGUGUUCAGCACAUAACCCAAACUUUUGUUCUAAUUAUGAGAGGGUCAGAAGCAUCAGCAAAUAUCAGGCCCGUGUGCGAGUGUGCAGUCCACUGUGGCAGGCACAUGAACACAAUUAUUGUUCUACAUGCAUAUGGCAGUAUCAGCUGUCCUUCUCUUCCCCUGUUAAACAUUUUUAUUUCAUUGCUUGUGGCUACCUUCUACAUUGAUCCUGAAGUUUUAGCAAAUGAUCAUAUUGCCUAGCCUCCAACCCCUACUUCUACAUCCUCCUCUGCUUCUGUCAGACAUCUUUGCUCUUGAUUCUCCAUAGUAUCUCCAUCCAAACUGUUGUUCUUAUCUUCCAGAUAGCUGGCGUUUCUCCUGUCAUCCUUACUAAUGCAUCUAGUGACAUGGAUAGCACAUAUGUUUUUAGGUAGGUCGAGGCUGCACAACAUGGAGUAAGGACAUAUAUGUUACCUUGGUUGACUGUUGGUGUUUGUGAAGUAAAGACUGUCAGUUUCUAAAUUGUGCAAAUGGAAUAUGUAUCAGCUUAAGUCAGACAAGUUUUUCAAAGUAGACUUUCACUUUGUACACUGAGUAACACAUAUAGUAAUGAAUAUUUUCCCACUAUAUAUUUUUCUUUAGUGUGACAUUUAUCAUCUCUUAAAAUUUGUCCCCAAAUUCACUUAGCUAACUAAUUUACCACACCCCCUUAUGUGAGGCCUCCUUUCCAUUCUUCUUUGAACCUGAUGCAUUGGUUCAUUAGGCCAUUUGAACUACUUGAACAUAACAAUGAACACAGAUUCAUUGGCAGUGUUUUAACCAAGGCAGACAAAUCUAAUUGAUUAUGGUUAGACACAUUUUAAGAUUAAUCUCAAGGAAGUGCUUAAGAAAGCCACCAAAAAUCAUCCAGAAUCAUACAAGUAGGUUAAAUUCCUUUUCCCAAAUAAGCUUAUAUGCUUCCCUCAACUUGAAAUGACCUACUUCUGCUGUGAGAAUCUAACAAGUUCAUGUCUCUGUGAAACUGUCUUGAUUUCCUCACCUCAAGGGGAAUUAACUCUCUGACUACAUGGCACACAGGUCUACAACAUACAGAUCUUCAUUUGCUCCCUGAUCUAGCCUCCUAAUUGUGACACUCACAUCUACCUGCCUGCCCAAUACCAUCUGUCUUUCUGGCUGGUGGUGGAAGUAUUCUUCAAACUCCUACGGCAGGCAAUUAAGUGUAGCACUUCCUUGGAAUUCAAAAAAGCUGAGAUAACUAAGAUAACUGAUUGAUGAGUGAGAAAGAAACAGACCCAAACAGAGAGUGUUAUAGUUUAGUAUACACCAAGAAAAUGGAAUUUGAGGGAAGGGUAGAUGGACAGGGCCAUUAUGCAAGUGAAUUUGCACGGAGACACCCUGCCUCAUUCCUAGUGCUCUCUGGCUUUCAGUCUGCAUGAGAACCUUGUCCUACAGACAGACAGACAGCUUCAGGGUGGAUUAACUAAUCAGCCAAGUGAGAAGAGCAUCUACCAGUAUGUCUGCAAAAAUACUUCAAUUUCAAAAAUGAUUAUUAAAAGCCACAAGGAAGGCACAGAUAACACCUUUGAAACAUUGACUGGCUGAUCAAAAGAGACAUUAGUAUGUACUCCUUAAGGGAAACUGUUGGAAUUUAACAUGCAUACAAGCAAAUCCUAUUACUAUUUUCUCCUCUGCAUUGUCAUAAAAAUCCAGUCUUUGGAGCUUUCCAACUGCUUCUCAGCUCUUUUGAAAAUACUUCCAUUUGUUUCUCUUGACUUCUGUGUUCCAUUCUUUUCUUUGUUUCUUCUUUCCUUCUCUGUCUGUUUCAA